This 865-nucleotide ribosomal RNA is filed under the name Pestalotiopsis biciliata. Its description in RNAcentral is "LSU rRNA". It matches the Rfam family "Eukaryotic large subunit ribosomal RNA", at positions 73 to 967 of the family's 3401-position model. The record is from RNAcentral. Lineage: Eukaryota; Fungi; Ascomycota; Sordariomycetes; Amphisphaeriales; Sporocadaceae.
AUGCCUUAGUAACGGCGAGUGAAGCGGCACAGCUCAAUUUGAAAUCUGGCCCUCGGGUCCUAAAGUAAUUUGUAGAGGAUGAUUUUGGUGCGGUAUCUUCCGAGUUCCUUGGAACAGGACGCCUUAGAGGGUGAGAGCCCCGUACGGUUGAAUGCCUAGCCUCUGUAAAUCUCCUUCGACGAGUCGAGUAGUUUGGGAAUGCUGCUCUAAAUGGGAGGUAAAUUUCUUCUAAAGCUAAAUAUUGGCCAGAGACCGAUAGCGCACAAGUAGAGUGAUCGAAAGAUGAAAAGCACUUUGAAAAGAGGGUUAAAUAGCACGUGAAAUUGUUGAAAGGGAAGGAUUUGUGACCAGACUUUUUCUGGGCGGAUCAUCCGGGGUUCUCUCCGGUGCACUUUGCCCAGUAAAGGCCAGCAUCGAUUUUCGGCGGCGGAUAAAAGCAGUGGGAAUGUGGCUCCCUACGGGGAGUGUUAUAGCCCAUUGUAUAAUACGCUGCUGGGGAUCGAGGUACGCGCUUCUGCAAGGAUGCUGGCGUAAUGGUUAUCAAUCACCCGUCUUGAAACACGGACCAAGGAGUCGAACAUUUAUGCGAGUGUUUGGGUGUUAAACCCUCACGCGUAAUGAAAGUGAACGGAGGUGAGAGCCCGUACGGGUGCAUCAUCGACCGAUCCUGAAGUUUUCGGAUGGAUUUGAGUAAGAGCAUAACUGUUCGGACCCGAAAGAUGGUGAACUAUGCGUGGAUAGGGUGAAGCCAGAGGAAACUCUGGUGGAGGCUCGCAGCGGUUCUGACGUGCAAAUCGAUCGUCAAAUCUGCGCAUGGGGGGCGAAAGACUAAUCGAACCAUCUAGUAGCUGGUUACCGCCGAAGU